GUGAAUCAUCGAAUUUUUGAACGCAAAUUGCACUCCCUGGUAUUCCGGGGAGUAUGCCUGUUUGAGGGUCGUUAGAAUAAAAAAUCGAAGCGUGGCUCUUUUUUUUAAGGGUGAUCGGGUCGGAUUUGCGCUGUCUUUCAAAUGUUAUUUAAUGUCAACGUGGUUUGAACUCCAUCCAUCCGGUCGGAUUAUAGCGUUUUUAAGAUACACUUUGAUUAAGAA
Molecule: unclassified non-coding RNA, 222 nt
Filed under: Glomeraceae sp.
Lineage: Eukaryota; Fungi; Glomeromycota; Glomeromycetes; Glomerales; Glomeraceae
Description: partial contains 5.8S ribosomal RNA and internal transcribed spacer 2
Rfam family: 5.8S ribosomal RNA (bases 1-71)
Source: RNAcentral